AGGUUUUCAUUGUGUACAAGACCUGAUAUGUUUUUCAACAGAUGAAAAGAAUUGUGUGGUAUAUUAAAACAGAUAAAGUUCCUUUGUAAAGGUAAAUAUAUCGUGGCAUGAAUAUAAGCAGUGAUUUAUGUUACAAAAAUAUCAAUGUUUAGGAAAAACAUCUAUGUAUUGUGUUGUAAUUUCAAGAUAAUAUGUGUUAUGUUAAAUUAAGAUCAGCUAUUGUAUCUAUAGGUACAUGUAAUAUAGAGAGAAUAAUCUUAUCUUAUUGAUUUAGAUAUGAAGUUGAAAUGGACUUUAGAGAGUCCAGCAAAUCAGUUUUCCACACUUUUUUUCUUUACAUGCUUGAAGAUAUUGAUUUGAUAUUUGGUACAUUGUUUUAUCAUGACAAGCUACAAAUCAAGUUAAAAUUUUGUGCAGGUCUGAUAAUGUUAUGCAGAGUUAUGGUCCUUGGACUUAAAUUUUCACCCAAAUAAUCAGUUUUCCACAUUUUUUUGCAUUAUGCUUGAAGAAAUUAAUUAGAUACUUGGUAUAUAGUUAAAUUUGAUUUUUGAUCAUUUUAAAUUAUCUCCCUUCUCUUUAUUCACUGAAAAAUAACUGUCAUGGACGUAUCACUACAUUUAUUGGAAUGUGGAAAAUUGAAAUAGAUAAUUUUAAUGAUUUUUGAUAAUUUUAAAUUUUCCCCUUUUUUUUUAUUCAAGAAAAAAUAACUCAUGGACGUAUCACUACAUUUAUCGGGAGCGUUUUUCCUGAUUUGUAGAAAAUUGAAACAGAUAAUUUGAUUUUUGAUAUUUAUUUAAUUAUCUCCCUUCUUUUUCAGAAAAAUAGCUGUCAUGGACGUAUCACUACAUUUAUCGGGAGUUUUUUUCCUGAUUUGUGGGAUAUGGUGGAGCAUUCAAAUCACGAAAAAGUUUUACUAUGCAAAAGAUCAACAAACCGACUUUAAAAGCUCGACAUCCUAUACAUGUUGUUUUUCAUGUCGAACAUUUCCUAUAGAGAGUUUUACCAAGUUUGCCUUCAGUAUUAGUUACAUCAUUUACGAAAUAGUAUUAGCGACAGAUUUUGGUCAUGCUAAAAAUUUACACUAUGAGAAUCUCCUGCACAUGACAGUUUUUGCCUUUUUUUCAUUUAGUUUUAUCAUUGAGAUUAUUCAGCAUUAUAAGGUCAAGUUGAUUGUAAAUGACCUUGAAUAUGUGACCUUGAUAUUUGCCUUUGGUGCUCAGGCCUUACUUUAUGGCUGCCAUUUUGCUACAGAAUAUUCGGUAAAAUGUGUAGUACACAAUCUCAUUCAGUAUACAGCCGUAAUAUGUUGUGUUGUCACUGCCUUAGAAAUGAAGUUUCGAACUAACGUAAUUUUCCCAUUGUUUCGUGGAGUCUUCGUCAUGGUACUUGGAACAUGGACUUUACACACAUCGAUCAUUUUGGAAGACAAAGAACUGUCAAUAGAUACAAAAGACAAUGCCUGGAUGGUCACACUAUAUUUUACGUGGCAUUGUGCAAUUAAUGGUGUAUUCAUGUUGUGUAUUUGGUUGAUUACGUACAAAUUGUUUACACAUAAUAAGUGUUGUUGUUUACCUUUAGAUUAUAACAACACAGAUGACAAUGUUUGUUUACACAACAGAGUUCGCUUUGAUUAUCCACUAUUGAACAGAUUUGAUUCUGAUGUUGAAUAAUGUUUAUAACAAUCAGAAAGAGUUGUCUACCCUUUUUUCUGCUUUUUUCUCUAUUAUUACAUCAUGAUCAUGGUGCUUUUCUAUAGUUUGUU
This 1762-nucleotide long non-coding RNA is filed under the name Mytilus galloprovincialis (Mediterranean mussel). Lineage: Eukaryota; Metazoa; Mollusca; Bivalvia; Mytilida; Mytilidae. The record is from RNAcentral.